GAGCAUUGGCUCUGCACCUACUCCUAAAACUCACAGAGGAAGUCACUCCCAGGUUUUCUGACAAAACAGGAACUCAGGAGAUUGGUCACACCAGGAUUUCAGGAUCUCAAAGGUAGCUCGACUUCUAGGAGCUCUGACACACCCAAUAUUGCAGGAUCACAGGAAAGACAAAUUCCAGUCAGAGACUGCAAGGGCAGUUAGCACUAGGGAUAACCAAAUGGCAAGAGGCAAACACAAGAACAUCAGCAACAGAAAGCAAUGCUACUUGACAACAUUAGAACCCAGUUCUCCCCCAAGACCAAGCCCUGAAUACACUAACACACCAAAAAAGCAAGAUUCAGAUCUAAUAUCUCAUUUAAUAGAAAUAUUAAAGAAAAUACAAAGGGAGACAACGUUGGAGAUGGAAGACUUAGGAAAGAGAUCAGGAGUCACAAAUGCAAGCAUCACCAACAGAAUAAAAGAGAUAGAAAAGAGAAUCUCAAGCACAGAAGAUACCCUAGAGGACAUCGAAACAAUAGUCAAAGAAAAUAAAAUGCAAUAGUCAAGAAGCAAAAUCCAUUACAGGAUGAAAAGACCAAACCUAAGAAUAAUAAGUAUAGAAGAGAGUAAAGACUCCCCAAUCAAAGGGCCAGUUAAUAUCGUCAACAAAAUUGUAGAAGAAAACUUCCCUAACCUAAAGAAAGAGAUGUCCAUAUACAUACAAGUAGCCUACAAAAACAGAUGGGACCAGAAAAGAAAUUCCUCUCAAUACAUAACAAUUAAAACACCAAAUGCACAGAACAAAGAAAGAAUAUUAA
This 797-nucleotide long non-coding RNA is filed under the name Rattus norvegicus (Norway rat). RNAcentral's name for it is "long non-coding RNA NONRATT016991". Lineage: Eukaryota; Metazoa; Chordata; Mammalia; Rodentia; Muridae. The record is from RNAcentral.